GAGGUUANCUGGACAUUGGUGAAGAUAUACAGAUCGCCACAUAUGUUGCUCGAGUACACCAAUCCCGACUAGGCUCGUUAAAUAGAACCCUUCUUGCAUGGAUGGACAAAUUGCUGACAAUAGGAUCGACUAACAUCCAUCUGAAGAUAGAGAUAUACUAACAGUGUUCUAUCGGUUUUUCACACCUGUAGUUUUCAGUGAGAAGCUUCUCGGCUUGUAUUUUUUCUAUGUCAAGAAGUAUCUCUAAAGCAAGUAUGGAUGUCUGUUGGAAUUUAUUUAUUUCCGAUUGCAUUUUUGAGGCACUGGAAAUGUGUAAAUAUCAUCUGAGAGAAUACUGCAUACAGCCUUCUGAUGCAAAGUGUAAAAAGAUGCUAAUCUCCUAAGUCUCUUGUUCAUUUUCACUUACAAAACUUGAGAGUGGUGGUAACCAUAUCCAUAUGUAGAUGGAGUUGAAAAUUCUCCCAUAUCAAUUGAAGCAUAACAAUUUUUAUUUUUAUUA
RNAcentral lists this long non-coding RNA (499 nucleotides) under Olea europaea subsp. europaea. The record is from RNAcentral. Lineage: Eukaryota; Viridiplantae; Streptophyta; Magnoliopsida; Lamiales; Oleaceae.